GAAGGGAAUAGGCUCCAGUUGAGGUAGAGUACGACCUUGCCAAGGUCAGGGUCGCGAAGUUCAGUCUCGUUUCGCUCCA
This 79-nucleotide transfer RNA is filed under the name Salmonella enterica subsp. enterica. RNAcentral's name for it is "tRNA-Gly". The record is from RNAcentral. Lineage: Bacteria; Pseudomonadati; Pseudomonadota; Gammaproteobacteria; Enterobacterales; Enterobacteriaceae.